Molecule: long non-coding RNA, 294 nt
Filed under: Eucalyptus grandis
Lineage: Eukaryota; Viridiplantae; Streptophyta; Magnoliopsida; Myrtales; Myrtaceae
Description: long non-coding RNA (EGRA_LNC006911)
Source: RNAcentral
GGGAAUUGACGCUUGGAAAUUGAAAAGGAUUUUGAUAUUAACUAUUUUCCAAGGAGUGUUAAAGAAGCGAUGAUAAAGCAAUUUCUUUAUUUUCCGACUGCCCGGAAGGGACCAAAAAACAUCUUGUUUUUUCUUCGACAAUUCCCGAUCUUUAGUGGAUCUCCCAAUGGGAUUCAAAUACACUAUCUCCCAUUGGGAUUCAAAUCCACUUAAAAUUCUGAGUAUCAGUUCAAGAAGAAAAGAAAGAAUACGACAACCCAUGGAAGUAAAACGGAAGAGAUUCCCUUCAUGUUG